Neofelis nebulosa (Clouded leopard) is the source of this 853-nucleotide long non-coding RNA. RefSeq lists it as uncharacterized. The record is from RefSeq and is a predicted model, not a curated record. NCBI's taxonomy places the organism in Eukaryota, Metazoa, Chordata, Mammalia, Carnivora, Felidae. The transcript is spliced from 4 exons.
GGCAAUGGGAAUAUCAAGCACAGAGGCUCUCAUCUGGCAAAGAACUUGGCUUGUUUCAGAGUCAGAAAGGGACCAGCCUGGUUGGAGAAUGGUCAUGAGGUGAAGCAGGAGGACAGACAAUGGGAAACAAUAUGGUCAGAAAGAAGAACAGGUGCCAGAUAAUGCAGGGUGGUCAGGAUAAAGUGAAGGCUCUGGGGUUGUUUUCUAAAAGAAAUGCUAAAGUUUAAACCAGGUGUACAAGGUGAUUGGAGGAAAAAUUUAAAUACCCACUUGGUUAUUAAGUAGGGAAUUAAUUGUGAUAAAGUAUUCUGGAAGCCAGGAGCCCACUGAAGUCAUUGCCAUAAUUCAGUGAGAAGAAAAGCCUGAACAGGGUUAAUAGCCUUCCCCCAAGGCUACAUGAUCCAUUGCAAUACAGAGAGAAUGAGAAUUCAAAUUAAGGAUGACCCUCUAAAGGAAAACCUAUCCAAUCUGCCCUACACUCCAUUUGUACAUAUCAGCAGUUUGCAAAUUCUUCACCAAUUUCAUCAAGAAAACGGACAUGGAAUAAAAACUCCUCUGGAAGCUCAAAGCUCACUAAACUUUCUUCCUAAAAUAUACCACUGAUAGAGUCUCAAUCAAAAAAGCAAAAGUCAUCAAGGACCCUGGACAGCGCACGAUCCCAGGUGGACUUCCAGGGUGAAUUGGUGAUCAAGUCUCCUCUACUGGACUUGAGCAGGGGCUGCUGCUGUUGCUGUUGCUACUGCUGUUGCUUCUGCUUCUUCUGCUGCUGCUGCUUUCUCACUCCGGAGGCUGAAACGCUGUCAGAUUGGAGGGAUCUGUAUCUCAGCCCUAAAUAAAGCAUUCAUUUGGUUCA